Molecule: ribosomal RNA, 508 nt
Filed under: uncultured bacterium
Lineage: Bacteria
Description: partial 16S ribosomal RNA
Rfam family: Bacterial small subunit ribosomal RNA
Source: RNAcentral
GACGAACGCUGGCGGCGUGCCUAAUACAUGCAAGUCGAACGCUUCUUUCCUCCCGAGUGCUUGCACUCAAUUGGAAAGAGGAGUGGCGGACGGGUGAGUAACACGUGGGUAACCUACCCAUCAGAGGGGGAUAACACUUGGAAACAGGUGCUAAUACCGCAUAACAGUUUAUGCCGCAUGGCAUAAGAGUGAAAGGCGCUUUCGGGUGUCGCUGAUGGAUGGACCCGCGGUGCAUUAGCUAGUUGGUGAGGUAACGGCUCACCAAGGCCACGAUGCAUAGCCGACCUGAGAGGGUGAUCGGCCACACUGGGACUGGGACACGGCCCAGACUCCUACGGGAGGCAGCAGUAGGGAAUCUUCGGCAAUGGACGAAAGUCUGACCGAGCAACGCCGCGUGAGUGAAGAAGGUUUUCGGAUCGUAAAACUCUGUUGUUAGAGAAGAACAAGGACGUUAGUAACUGAACGUCCCCUGACGGUAUCUAACCAGAAAGCCACGGCUAACUACGUG